AGGGGUGAUAGAAUGAUGAUAUAGGGUAUUUUGUGCUGGUCCUUAAGGUCUCUGAAUAGGGUGUGUAACAUUGGUUGGGCUGAAAAUGGCAUAUGUGCUGUUCUAUGCGCCCUAAUGCAAGCCUGGUUAAAAGCCCUAGAAUGAAACGAGAGGUUUUCUUCCUUUUAUGGUAUGCUCAUGAAUAUUUAGAUAACCUGCGUGCUGAUUGGUUGGUUUACAACGAGCGAAGCUCCGGAGCAAAGACGCAAACAUGGCCGACAGCACUCACUGAAACAGCCAAGGUGGAAAUACUAUGGAGACAUAGGUGUUGAACAGCAUAUUUGAGCCUGAAUCAGAGGAAGAAUCUGAAAUAGAGGAGCAACCAGUCGCCCAUAGAUUGGAAAUGACUACUUCAGAGUGGUAAGUUUUGUCAUUUACUUGAGUUUGCAACACGUAGCCCAGUUAGCUAGCUGUAAUACUCGCACGUUAGUGUCGUAGACUAAGCUAAACAUUGCAUUAGGUUCGUUUUUAGCAUUGUAAGCAACAGAAGUUAUUAAUUUGCACACAAACAGAUGUUUUACAACUUGUACCCUUGUGCAAUUUUUGUCAAGAUGUCCAGUUAGAAACUAGCUGAAAAGUUUGUAGCCCGUCGUGGGCAGUUCAGGCUAUGCUGUAGUGAAAGGAGUGCUGCUUGCAAGGAAAGUACUCGUUUUAGUCAGUUAUUAAAAGAAUGACCCAGGUUCCUGAGGAGCUGACCUGAAUGACCAUCAUGUUGUGCCUCUAUAUUCUUUGCAAAAUGCAAUGAAUAUUUACAGAGCUGACCAUGGCCGUUUGAGAAUCAGAGGAAUGGAAAGGCAAUGAAGUGACUUGGCCUACAGGUCUUUUGUGAGUAGGAG
Alosa sapidissima (American shad) is the source of this 875-nucleotide long non-coding RNA. RefSeq lists it as uncharacterized. The record is from RefSeq and is a predicted model, not a curated record. Lineage: Eukaryota; Metazoa; Chordata; Actinopteri; Clupeiformes; Clupeidae. The transcript has 3 exons.